This 1308-nucleotide ribosomal RNA is filed under the name Triticum aestivum (bread wheat). RNAcentral describes it as "partial small subunit ribosomal RNA". Lineage: Eukaryota; Viridiplantae; Streptophyta; Magnoliopsida; Poales; Poaceae. The record is from RNAcentral.
AUGGGCAGCCAACUGCUGGCGGCGGCGCCACCAGCGAAACGUCCGUUGAUCUCAUCCACGAUCACUACCACCACCACCCACGCUACCGCCGGCGACGGAACCACCACCACCAUAUCCUCCCUCGGACAAGACCAGCUUCUCGACAUCUUCCUCCGCCUGCCCAACCUGCCGGCCCUCAUCCGCGCGGCGCUCACCUGCCGCCCAUGGCUCGGCGCCGUCCGCUCCUCCCGGUCCUUCCGCCGCCUCUUCCGCGCCCUUCACCCAGCGCCGCUCAUCGGGCUCUUCAUCGACAUCGACGGCGCCGCCGCCCCCUCCUUCGUCCCCCUGCGCCGCUCAGAUCCCAACGUCAUAGCCGCCGUCCGCCGCGGCGACUUCCUCCUCACUUCCCUCCCGGUGAAUGCCGACGAGGAUACGAGCUGGUGUAUCACGGACUGCCGCCAUGGCUACGUCCUGCUGUGGAACAAGAUCGUAUGGAAGAAGCCGACCGUCGCUGCCGUGAACCCCAUGACCUGGGCCUUGGACAUCAUCCCGGUGCCCCGCGAUGUCUGGGCUGGGAGGAGUGGGAGACGCCGCCAUUUCGCCUUCCUUGGUUUCCAUCUGCUGUCUUCCCAGGAGAACCCCCGGUCGUUCCGCGUGGUCUGCGUAUGUGCUGACAAGCAAAGAGUUCGUGUCGCCGUCUUCUCACCGGAGACGAGGAAUUGGGUCGUCCACCCGUGGGUGCACGUCGGUGGUGACAACAGCCUCAAGUCCAGCGCCGGCACGCUGGUGGGUGGUUCCGUUUACUGGCCUUUCCACGGCGAAGGGCGCAUGAUUAGGAUCAACACAGCCACCAUGGAUAUCUCCUUUGUGGAUCUACCCUCGCAAAUCAAGGUGUACGGGCACAAUUUCAAGGCCGGGGAGACCAAGGACGGCCAACUAUGCAUUGUCUAUGCGUCUGACGAUUUUCUCCUCCGUGCUUGGACCCGUAGUCUGGACGCCGACGGAAUUGAGGUCUGGGUGCUGAAAAACAUUCUCUCUUUGAGUGAAGGAAUUGAUGAGAUCACUGAGGGGUGUGCUGUGGACUUGCCAGUCGACCUCAAAGUUGUGCAAGUUAGGUCAGGAUACGUGUACUUGUCCGCGACGUGCAUGACCCAUCCUGGCACACUCCGCUGCUGGUUCAUCUCCCUUUCACUCGAGACCACUGAGUUUGAGUUACUGGUUCAUGGGUGUUUUGGUGGCUCUGUCUGUCCGUACAACAUGGCCUGGCCUCCUUGUUUGGUUGGUGAUGAUGGGAGCAUUGGGCAUCAUGAAGUUGAAGGCUCUCACUGA